Molecule: ribosomal RNA, 698 nt
Filed under: uncultured bacterium
Lineage: Bacteria
Description: bacterial SSU rRNA
Rfam family: Bacterial small subunit ribosomal RNA
Source: RNAcentral
AGAGUUUGAUCCUGGCUCAGAACGAACGCUGGCGACGUGGAUUAGGCAUGCAAGUCGAACGGGAUUCUUAAGUUUCAAUCCUUCGGGAGAGAGACUUUUGAUGAGAGUGGCGAACGGGUGAGGAACACGUGGGUAAGCUACCCUUAAGCUGGGGAUAGCCCUCCGAAAGGAGGGGUAACACCGAAUGUGGUAUUCCAACGCAUGUUGGAUGAUCUAAAGAUGGGGAUCUUCGGACCUAUCACUUAAGGAUGUGCCCGCGUACUAUCAGCUUGUUGGUGAGGUAACGGCUCACCAAGGCUCUGACGGUUAGCUGGUCUGAGAGGAUGGUCAGCCACACUGGGACUGAGACACUGCCCAGACUCCUACGGGAGGCUGCAGUCGAGAAUCAUUCGCAAUGCACGAAAGUGUGACGAUGCGACGUCGCGUGGAGGAUGAAGGACUUCGGUUCGUAAACUCCUGUCAGAAGGGAACAAUAGUUUCACGAUUAAUACUCGUGAGAUGUGAUGGUACCUUCAGAGGAAGCCACGGCUAACUCUGUGCCAGCAGCCGCGGUAAUACAGAGGUGGCGAGCGUUGUUCGGAUUUACUGGGCGUAAAGGGUGUGUAGGCUGCUUUGUGUGUCGAAUGUGAAAGCCCACGGCUCAACCGUGGAAAUGCAUCCGAAACUACAGGCUAGAGUACUGGAGAGGAGAGCGGAAU